Molecule: ribosomal RNA, 760 nt
Filed under: Khoyollomyces ramosus
Lineage: Eukaryota; Fungi; Neocallimastigomycota; Neocallimastigomycetes; Neocallimastigales; Neocallimastigaceae
Description: partial large subunit ribosomal RNA
Rfam family: Eukaryotic large subunit ribosomal RNA
Source: RNAcentral
UGCAUAUCAAUAAGCGGAGGAAAAGAAACUAACAAGGAUUCCCCUAGUAACGGCGAGUGAAGCGGGAAGAGCUCAAAUUUGAAAUCUUAAAGGGUUUCCCUUUACGAAUUGUAGUUUAAAGAAGUGUUUUCUGUUGAGGUUUUGGUAAAAGUUCUUUGGAAUAGGACAUCAUAGAGGGUGAGAAUCCCGUAUUUGACCUUUACUUUCAACUUUGUGAUACACUUUCAAAGAGUCGGAUUGUUUGGGAAUGCAGUCCAAAAUGGGUGGUAAAUUUCAUCUAAAGCUAAAUAUUGGCGAGAGACCGAUAGCGAACAAGUACCGUGAGGGAAAGAUGAAAAGAACUUUGAAAAGAGAGUUAAACAGUACGUGAAAUUGUCAAAAGGGAAGCGUUUGACACCAGUGUUGUUUUUCUGAAAAUCAAUUAAAGAACUGUUUAUGCUAAGUUGUUUAGACUUUAUCAGCUAUCUGUUUAGUUUUGAGCUUUUCUUUAAUGCACUUUUCAGUUAACAAGUCAACAUCAAUUUCUUUUGCUGUAAAAAAGCUUGAGGAAGGUGGCUUGAGAUUCGUCUUAAGUGUUUAUAGCCUCUUGCCUAUGCAGUCGGAGAGAUUGAGGUCUGCAGCGUAGAUCCUUCGGGGCUAAAUGCAUUUGUGCUAAGUUAUAGCAUUUUAUAGACAACUUGUUGACUAUGAUUUGUCUUGUAGCUUACUCGCUCUAGUGUUAUAAUACCUACGCCAGCAUGCGAUACAGCGCCUGGACGGU